UACGUAGGUGGCAAGCGUUGUCCGGAUUUACUGGGCGUAAAGAGCGCGUAGGCGGUCGUUCAAGUCGCGUGUGAAAGCCCCCGGCUCAACUGGGGAGGGUCACGCGAUACUGAUCGACUCGAAGGCAGGAGAGGGUAGUGGAAUUCCCGGUGUAGUGGUGAAAUGCGUAGAUAUCGGGAGGAACACCAGUGGCGAAGGCGACUACCUGGCCUGUUCCUGACGCUGAGGCGCGAAAGCUAGGGGAGCAAACGGG
Molecule: ribosomal RNA, 253 nt
Filed under: uncultured bacterium
Lineage: Bacteria
Description: partial 16S ribosomal RNA
Rfam family: Bacterial small subunit ribosomal RNA
Source: RNAcentral